GGGGGCACGGGGGGCCUACGGGAGGCAGCACGUGGGGAAUUUUGGACAAUGGGGGCAACCCUGAUCCAGCAAUUCGCCGCGUGUGUGAAGAAGGCCUUCGGGUUGUAAAGCA
This 112-nucleotide ribosomal RNA is filed under the name uncultured bacterium. RNAcentral describes it as "partial 16S ribosomal RNA". It matches the Rfam family "Bacterial small subunit ribosomal RNA", at positions 320 to 432 of the family's 1533-position model. The record is from RNAcentral.